This is a long non-coding RNA of Cotesia glomerata, 383 nucleotides long. RefSeq lists it as uncharacterized. NCBI's taxonomy places the organism in Eukaryota, Metazoa, Arthropoda, Insecta, Hymenoptera, Braconidae. The transcript has 3 exons. The record is from RefSeq and is a predicted model, not a curated record.
ACGACCAUUGAAAAAUGUAAUAGAUAGUUAUAAUAUAAUAUAUUUAUUUUUUUAAUAGUUUUUUAAAGAUGUCGACGGAUUUAUUAAUGAACAAUGUUUUCAGUGAGGGAAACUGAACUACAUUUUCUUCAGAUGUUGGAGCAAUCUAUAAAACGGGCUUACGAGUCAUAUCAAAGAUACGAUCGACAGUCUUCUCAAGUACUCAACAUACCGGACUUAUAUACUCAUACUGGUGAACACAUGUAAGCUUUCUUGGAAAAGCCAACAAUAUAGUGUCUACAGUUAUUGUCACCUUUAAAUAAUUGUUUUUACGCUGAUUGUCGUUUAGUUUCAUCCUCUCAAUAUAAACAAUAACUAUAGAUUUGAUUAUAAAAAUCAGAAGU